AAAAAAUACGUUACAUUAAUUCGUAUAUUCUUAGAACUAUGGCCUAAGAGUCUCUACUAGGAGCCUAAAAAUCCUAACUACGAAUGGGUGAGAUUAGUCU
This 100-nucleotide non-coding RNA is filed under the name Paenibacillus pini. RNAcentral describes it as "Guanine sequence". It matches the Rfam family "Purine riboswitch aptamer". Rfam says of the family: Riboswitches are metabolite binding domains within certain messenger RNAs that serve as precision sensors for their corresponding targets. Allosteric rearrangement of mRNA structure is mediated by ligand binding, and this results in modulation of gene expression. RNAcentral also lists the same sequence under 1 other name. The record is from RNAcentral. Lineage: Bacteria; Bacillati; Bacillota; Bacilli; Caryophanales; Paenibacillaceae.